UUUAGUAAAUUGCCUUGCAAAAAGGUUGGUGAAUGGUGAUAAAAUAAUUCUAUAAGCGGUGGAUUGUCUCGGUGAUGCAAAUUUAAUAAUUUUCUUCGUCCUGUCGCAUCCGGCUUCGAACAAACCCUCUUCUUAGAAUGCAUCAAUAUUGCUAGUCUAGUGAUCGAACCAGAGCACCCAUGGAUCCUGCGAUGCAUCCCAACCUCUUCACUUUGAAAAAAAAAAAAAAAAAAAAAAAAAAACCCAUGUUAGACAACCACUACUUCUUUGUUGCAUUCUCUACUGUAUUUGGCAAUAGCAGGCUGUCUUCCAUGGUGGUGUCUUCUGCUGUGGAACUCAAUAGCCGCGGCCGCCUCAGGUGCUGAUGAUGAUCACCCUACGGAUACUGGGGAUUUCGAUUUGGGUAAUAUAUACAUGAAGAGAUGAAGAGAAAGUUCUGACAUUCGGAGGCCCAAAGUUUACAUUUCUGUAUGCAAAGAGUGGUAGUAUACAGCCAAUAUGACAGCAAGAAAAACAGAGCAAAUAUUGUAAGGCUGAUUUGCAAUGAAAAAAAAUACAAAGACAAAAAUCAUGUUGUACACAUUAACUUUCGAUAUAGGGGUUGAGAAAGAAGUAAUAUUGUACUGGAUGUGUGAAUUUGUAUCGGUUAUUGUUGAUAAAUUGCAUAACUCAGCUGGGUUUUUGUCAA
Molecule: non-coding RNA, 688 nt
Organism: Malus domestica (apple)
Lineage: Eukaryota; Viridiplantae; Streptophyta; Magnoliopsida; Rosales; Rosaceae
Source: RefSeq, a predicted model, not a curated record